Molecule: unclassified non-coding RNA, 351 nt
Filed under: uncultured fungus
Lineage: Eukaryota; Fungi
Description: sequence contains ITS2
Source: RNAcentral
AACGCAAAUUGCGCUCUCGGGAUAGGCCUGAGAGCACGCCUCUUUGAGCAUCGAUUCUACCACAAGUCGACGACGUCCUUGCAAAAGGUCGCGCAGUCGGACAUUGAGCUUUGCUGGAUCUCUUAAUCUGGACUGGCUUUAAAUAGAGCGAGAUGCACAGCGAUCAUACUGAACCUAGCAGUAAGCGAUCGGUGGCGUGGAUAACUUCACAAUUCGUGAACCUUCCAAUACGUGACCGUCGUUAACUACGCUGCUCUGAGCAGUUGAUUGCAACGCGCAUCGGAAACGUCGCUUGCGACAACCUCUUUUGAAUUAGAUCUCAAAUGAAGCGAGAAAACCCGCUGAACUUAA